Molecule: ribosomal RNA, 253 nt
Filed under: uncultured bacterium
Lineage: Bacteria
Description: partial 16S ribosomal RNA
Rfam family: Bacterial small subunit ribosomal RNA
Source: RNAcentral
CACGUAGGGGGCAAGCGUUGUCCGGAUUUAUUGGGCGUAAAGAGCUCGUAGGCGGCUAAGUAAGUCGGGUGUUAAAUCCCCAGGCUCAACCUGGGACACCACCCGAUACUGCUUUGGCUAGAGUCCGGUAGGGGAGCGUGGAAUUCCUGGUGUAGCGGUGAAAUGCGCAGAUAUCAGGAGGAACACCAGCGGCGAAGGCGGCGCUCUGGGCCGAUACUGACGCUGAGGAGCGAAAGCGUGGGGAGCGAACAGG